This 492-nucleotide ribosomal RNA is filed under the name uncultured bacterium. RNAcentral describes it as "partial 16S ribosomal RNA". It matches the Rfam family "Bacterial small subunit ribosomal RNA", at positions 29 to 507 of the family's 1533-position model. The record is from RNAcentral.
AGUGAACGCUGGCGGUAGGCCUAACACAUGCAAGUCGAACGGCAGCACAGUAAGAGCUUGCUCUUACGGGUGGCGAGUGGCGGACGGGUGAGGAAUACAUCGGAAUCUACUUUUUCGUGGGGGCAAACGUAGGGAAACUUACGCUAAUACUGCAUACGACCUACGGGCGAAAGCAGGGGAUCUUCGGAACUUGCGCGAUUGAAUGAGCCGAUGUCUGAUUAGCUAGUUGGCGGGGUAAAGGCCCACCAAGGCGACGAUCCGUAGCUGGUCUGAGAGGAUGAUCAGCCACACUGGAACUGAGACACGGUCCAGACUCCUACGGGAGGCAGCAGUGGGGAAUAUUGGACGAUGGGCGCAAGCCUGAUCCAGCCAUACCGCGUGGGUGAAGAAGGCCGUCGGGUUGUAAAGCCCUUUUGUUGGGAAAGAAAAGCAGCAGGUUAAUACCCCGCUGUUCUGACGGUACCCAAAGAAUAAGCACCGGCUAACUUCGUG